UGAGGAAGGCGAUUCCUCUCCUAGUUAGUUUCUCCAUGGAAGAACUCUAUUUAAUCCACCCAUCUCUUAAUAAUCCACAACCAUAUUUUUCUCCAUUUUCCCCAUCUCUCUUCAAUACAUCCAUUAUUUUCAGUUUCUCUCAUCCUUUUUUUCUCAUAUCAUAUUGUGAUCCUAAGAAUCAAUCUCACACUAAAAAGCUCACAAAUUGUCUUUGAGAUUGAUGGUGACCAAGAAUGGAGGAACAUGAGAAAUUGAAAAAGGUCCAACCAGAUUCGUACAGUGAACACAAACUCUACGGUUUCCGAUGGCAAUAGACAUGAGAGAUCGAAGAGUGAGAACUACGGUGGACCGACAUGCCGCAGUUGACCUCUAUACAGAAGACAUAGCUGCCAUAUUUAAAAAAUUCCAAGCAUCAACUAAGGAGGAACUGUCAACUAAACAAGUACGUGAAUUCUUGGAAGCUAAUGGCCAAGAUUUGUCUGGCUCUACUGAUACUCUUCUACGAAGAUGGUUAGUCCAUCUUUGUUUGAGCAUAUGAUCAGAAAUAUAUUAUAUAUGAGAACCUUCAAAUUCGUAAACACAAUGACGAAGUAAGUAACUAAGU
Non-coding RNA from Prunus avium (sweet cherry), 604 nucleotides. Lineage: Eukaryota; Viridiplantae; Streptophyta; Magnoliopsida; Rosales; Rosaceae. The record is from RefSeq and is a predicted model, not a curated record.